RNAcentral lists this ribosomal RNA (2900 nucleotides) under Klebsiella pneumoniae. RNAcentral's name for it is "bacterial LSU rRNA". It matches the Rfam family "Bacterial large subunit ribosomal RNA". Lineage: Bacteria; Pseudomonadati; Pseudomonadota; Gammaproteobacteria; Enterobacterales; Enterobacteriaceae. RNAcentral also lists the same sequence under 1 other name. The record is from RNAcentral.
UUAAGCGACUAAGCGUACACGGUGGAUGCCCUGGCAGUCAGAGGCGAUGAAGGACGUGCUAAUCUGCGAAAAGCGUCGGUAAGGUGAUAUGAACCGUUAUAACCGGCGAUGUCCGAAUGGGGAAACCCAGUGCAAUUCGUUGCACUAUCGUUAACUGAAUACAUAGGUUAACGAGGCGAACCGGGGGAACUGAAACAUCUAAGUACCCCGAGGAAAAGAAAUCAACCGAGAUUCCCCCAGUAGCGGCGAGCGAACGGGGAGCAGCCCAGAGUCUGAAUCAGCUUGUGUGUUAGUGGAACGGUCUGGAAAGUCCGACGGUACAGGGUGAUAGUCCCGUACACCAAAAUGCACAGGCUGUGAACUCGAAGAGUAGGGCGGGACACGUGGUAUCCUGUCUGAAUAUGGGGGGACCAUCCUCCAAGGCUAAAUACUCCUGACUGACCGAUAGUGAACCAGUACCGUGAGGGAAAGGCGAAAAGAACCCCGGCGAGGGGAGUGAAAAAGAACCUGAAACCGUGUACGUACAAGCAGUGGGAGCACCUUCGGGUGUGACUGCGUACCUUUUGUAUAAUGGGUCAGCGACUUAUAUUCUGUAGCAAGGUUAACCGUAUAGGGGAGCCGCAGGGAAACCGAGUCUUAACUGGGCGUUAAGUUGCAGGGUAUAGACCCGAAACCCGGUGAUCUAGCCAUGGGCAGGUUGAAGGUUGGGUAACACUAACUGGAGGACCGAACCGACUAAUGUUGAAAAAUUAGCGGAUGACUUGUGGCUGGGGGUGAAAGGCCAAUCAAACCGGGAGAUAGCUGGUUCUCCCCGAAAGCUAUUUAGGUAGCGCCUCGUGAAUUCAUCUUCGGGGGUAGAGCACUGUUUCGGCUAGGGGGUCAUCCCGACUUACCAACCCGAUGCAAACUACGAAUACCGAAGAAUGUUAUCACGGGAGACACACGGCGGGUGCUAACGUCCGUCGUGAAGAGGGAAACAACCCAGACCGCCAGCUAAGGUCCCAAAGUCAUGGUUAAGUGGGAAACGAUGUGGGAAGGCACAGACAGCCAGGAUGUUGGCUUAGAAGCAGCCAUCAUUUAAAGAAAGCGUAAUAGCUCACUGGUCGAGUCGGCCUGCGCGGAAGAUGUAACGGGGCUAAACCAUGCACCGAAGCUGCGGCAGCGACACUAUGUGUUGUUGGGUAGGGGAGCGUUCUGUAAGCCUGCGAAGGUGUGCUGUGAGGCAUGCUGGAGGUAUCAGAAGUGCGAAUGCUGACAUAAGUAACGAUAAAGCGGGUGAAAAGCCCGCUCGCCGGAAGACCAAGGGUUCCUGUCCAACGUUAAUCGGGGCAGGGUGAGUCGACCCCUAAGGCGAGGCCGAAAGGCGUAGUCGAUGGGAAACAGGUUAAUAUUCCUGUACUUGGUGUUACUGCGAAGGGGGGACGGAGAAGGCUAUGUUAGCCGGGCGACGGUUGUCCCGGUUUAAGCAUGUAGGCUGGUUAUCCAGGCAAAUCCGGAUAAUCAAGGCUGAGGUGUGAUGACGAGGCACUACGGUGCUGAAGUAACAAAUGCCCUGCUUCCAGGAAAAGCCUCUAAGCAUCAGGUAACAUCAAAUCGUACCCCAAACCGACACAGGUGGUCAGGUAGAGAAUACCAAGGCGCUUGAGAGAACUCGGGUGAAGGAACUAGGCAAAAUGGUGCCGUAACUUCGGGAGAAGGCACGCUGGUGUGUAGGUGAAGUCCCUGCGGAUGGAGCUGAGACCAGUCGAAGAUACCAGCUGGCUGCAACUGUUUAUUAAAAACACAGCACUGUGCAAACACGAAAGUGGACGUAUACGGUGUGACGCCUGCCCGGUGCCGGAAGGUUAAUUGAUGGGGUUAUCCGUAAGGAGAAGCUCUUGAUCGAAGCCCCGGUAAACGGCGGCCGUAACUAUAACGGUCCUAAGGUAGCGAAAUUCCUUGUCGGGUAAGUUCCGACCUGCACGAAUGGCGUAAUGAUGGCCAGGCUGUCUCCACCCGAGACUCAGUGAAAUUGAACUCGCUGUGAAGAUGCAGUGUACCCGCGGCAAGACGGAAAGACCCCGUGAACCUUUACUAUAGCUUGACACUGAACAUUGAGCCUUGAUGUGUAGGAUAGGUGGGAGGCUUUGAAGCGUGGACGCCAGUCUGCGUGGAGCCAACCUUGAAAUACCACCCUUUAAUGUUUGAUGUUCUAACGUUGGCCCCUUACCGGGGUUGCGGACAGUGUCUGGUGGGUAGUUUGACUGGGGCGGUCUCCUCCCAAAGCGUAACGGAGGAGCACGAAGGUUAGCUAAUCCUGGUCGGACAUCAGGAGGUUAGUGCAAUGGCAUAAGCUAGCUUGACUGCGAGCGUGACGGCGCGAGCAGGUGCGAAAGCAGGUCAUAGUGAUCCGGUGGUUCUGAAUGGAAGGGCCAUCGCUCAACGGAUAAAAGGUACUCCGGGGAUAACAGGCUGAUACCGCCCAAGAGUUCAUAUCGACGGCGGUGUUUGGCACCUCGAUGUCGGCUCAUCACAUCCUGGGGCUGAAGUAGGUCCCAAGGGUAUGGCUGUUCGCCAUUUAAAGUGGUACGCGAGCUGGGUUUAGAACGUCGUGAGACAGUUCGGUCCCUAUCUGCCGUGGGCGCUGGAGAAUUGAGGGGGGCUGCUCCUAGUACGAGAGGACCGGAGUGGACGCAUCACUGGUGUUCGGGUUGUCAUGCCAAUGGCACUGCCCGGUAGCUAAAUGCGGAAGAGAUAAGUGCUGAAAGCAUCUAAGCACGAAACUUGCCCCGAGAUGAGUUCUCCCUGAGACUUUAAGUCUCCUGAAGGAACGUUGAAGACGACGACGUUGAUAGGCCGGGUGUGUAAGCGCAGCGAUGCGUUGAGCUAACCGGUACUAAUGAACCGUGAGGCUUAACCUU